GGCGCUAUAGCCAAGUGGUUACGGCGACAGAUUAGAAUACUUCGCAGAUGUCACAGUAUUUCAUCUGUUCCUCUUUGAGGGCGCAGGUUCAAAUCCUGCUGGCGUCG
Non-coding RNA from Hymenopellis radicata, 107 nucleotides. NCBI's taxonomy places the organism in Eukaryota, Fungi, Basidiomycota, Agaricomycetes, Agaricales, Physalacriaceae. The record is from the annotation of a GenBank genome assembly.